Haliotis rubra (blacklip abalone) is the source of this 1246-nucleotide long non-coding RNA. RefSeq lists it as uncharacterized. The record is from RefSeq and is a predicted model, not a curated record. The transcript has 3 exons. NCBI's taxonomy places the organism in Eukaryota, Metazoa, Mollusca, Gastropoda, Lepetellida, Haliotidae.
ACCCCUGGGUAAGCGCAGUAGUUGGAAACAGAAACAAAUGCAAACUUAUGUAUGGUGACAUCCCUAGUUCUGAUAUAAUGAAAUGCUGUGCAGUUCUACUGAGUCAAAUUACAUAAACAGUUACUUCAGAACUGUUGUACAUACUGUCUACAAAUGGUCAAUGUUCAAUGUUCACAUGUCCUGAUGCAUGUAUUUACUUGGUUUUAUAUUGAUGUAUGAUAUGACGAUAUGUUACAUGUAAUGUGACUCGGAAAUUAUGAAGCUUGAACCUUAUUGGGAUAUGUCACACACUGACUAAGUACCAGUACUUGAUGUACCCAUGUAUCAUGUCCUGUAUCAGAAUUUGUAUCAUAACCCAAGAUGUAUCUAGGAUUCCGCACUCAUUAUCUUGGGCAGGCAAACAGGGAAAAACUCCUGUUUUUCAAAAUAUAGAUGUUUAUUAAAUUUCUUGUUUUGUCAGAUUAGGAGGUAUUUUAACAUUGCUCUCAGUGUGGUAGUUUAAAACUGAUCAGUGAUACCUUUUUUACCUUAUUUUCUUAUAUGUUCUGUUAUUAGUGAAAUAUAAGUCACCUCUGGAUGAGGAUGUUUCUGGGUUGUUUCCUGUAAAAUUUGUGCUGGUCUUUCGGGGAGGUGGGGCAGCCAAGUGGUUAAUCAUUUGCUCGUCAUGCCGAAAACCUGGCUUAUAUAUCCCACAUGGGUAUGUGUGAAGCCCAUUUCUGGUGUCCCCUGCUGUGAUGUUGCUGGAAUAUUGCUAAAAGCAGUGUAAAACUAACCCACUCACUCAGGUCUUUCGGAACCUUGUCUCAGAUCAUUGGUGCUGGUUGGUCGGGCAGCCUAGUGGUUAAAGCGUUCGCUCAUCACGCCGAAGACCCAGGUUCGAUUCCCCACAUGGGUACAAAGUGUGAAGCCCAUUUCUGGUGUCCCCUGCUGUGAUGUUGCUGGAAUAUUGCUAAAAGCAGUGUAAAACUUAACCACUCACUCAGGUCUUUCAGCACCUUGUCUCAGAUCAUUGGUGCUGGGCGGUCAGGCAGCCUAGUGGUUAAAGUUUUUGAUUGUCACGCCGAAGACCCGGGUUCGAUUCUCCACGUGGGUACAAAGUGUGAAGCCCAUUUCUGGUGUCCCCUGCUGUGAUGUUGCUGGAAUAUUGCUAAAAGCGUGUAAAACUAACCCACUCACUCAGGUCUUUCGGCACCUUGUCUCAGUUCACUGGUGCUGGGCGGUGGGGUAGCAUAAUGGUUAAAGCGUU